ACUCCUACGGGAGGCAGCAGUGAGGAAUAUUGGUCAAUGGGCGCAAGCCUGAACCAGCCAUGCCGCGUGCAGGAUGACGGUCCUAUGGAUUGUAAACUGCUUUUGUACGGGAAGAAACACUCCUUCGUGAAGGAGCUUGACGGUACCGUAAGAAUAAGGAUCGGCUAACUCCGUGCCAGCAGCCGCGGUAAUACGGAGGAUCCAAGCGUUAUCCGGAAUCAUUGGGUUUAAAGGGUCCGUAGGCGGUUUUAUAAGUCAGUGGUGAAAUCCGGCAGCUCAACUGUCGAACUGCCAUUGAUACUGUAGAACUUGAAUUAUUGUGAAGUAACUAGAAUAUGUAGUGUAGCGGUGAAAUGCUUAGAGAUUACAUGGAAUACCAAUUGCGAAGGCAGGUUACUAACAAUAUAUUGACGCUGAUGGACGAAAGCGUGGGUAGCGAACAGGAUUAGAUACCCUGGUAGGACAGUG
RNAcentral lists this ribosomal RNA (468 nucleotides) under uncultured bacterium. RNAcentral's name for it is "bacterial SSU rRNA". It matches the Rfam family "Bacterial small subunit ribosomal RNA", at positions 335 to 799 of the family's 1533-position model. The record is from RNAcentral.